This 311-nucleotide long non-coding RNA is filed under the name Prunus persica (peach). RNAcentral's name for it is "long non-coding RNA (PPER_LNC007417)". Lineage: Eukaryota; Viridiplantae; Streptophyta; Magnoliopsida; Rosales; Rosaceae. The record is from RNAcentral.
UUGGUUUCUGGCAGCGCCGACGCAGUGCUGAUAAAAAAAAUAUAUAUAUCUUGCGCUGACGUCAGCUGCCCGAAGGCAAUAGGACAUACCAAAUCUCCUUGUGGGCUUGCUCGGGCUCGUGAGUCCCACACAUUGCCCAAGCUGGGUCUUCCGCGCUAGAGCUUCCUUCCAGGCCUAGGGUCCCCUCAUGCCUAGGCUAAACCCUUGCGGUGGAAGUGCUCUUAUACUCUAUCAUUAAUUCUUUCACUUCACCCACCCACUUGCUACACCUAACGCACUCUUUACUUGCUUUACCCACCCACAUGCAUACC